This 407-nucleotide ribosomal RNA is filed under the name Bacillus aerius. RNAcentral's name for it is "bacterial SSU rRNA". It matches the Rfam family "Bacterial small subunit ribosomal RNA", at positions 1018 to 1426 of the family's 1533-position model. Lineage: Bacteria; Bacillati; Bacillota; Bacilli; Caryophanales; Bacillaceae. The record is from RNAcentral.
CUUCGGGGGCAGAGUGACAGGUGGUGCAUGGUUGUCGUCAGCUCGUGUCGUGAGAUGUUGGGUUAAGUCCCGCAACGAGCGCAACCCUUGAUCUUAGUUGCCAGCAUUCAGUUGGGCACUCUAAGGUGACUGCCGGUGACAAACCGGAGGAAGGUGGGGAUGACGUCAAAUCAUCAUGCCCCUUAUGACCUGGGCUACACACGUGCUACAAUGGGCAGAACAAAGGGCAGCGAAGCCGCGAGGCUAAGCCAAUCCCACAAAUCUGUUCUCAGUUCGGAUCGCAGUCUGCAACUCGACUGCGUGAAGCUGGAAUCGCUAGUAAUCGCGGAUCAGCAUGCCGCGGUGAAUACGUUCCCGGGCCUUGUACACACCGCCCGUCACACCACGAGAGUUUGUAACACCCGAAG